Ochotona curzoniae (black-lipped pika) is the source of this 1341-nucleotide non-coding RNA. The record is from the annotation of a RefSeq genome assembly. Lineage: Eukaryota; Metazoa; Chordata; Mammalia; Lagomorpha; Ochotonidae.
AUGACUUUGCCAGCUGCCACCCUGGACUCAGGCCUCUCCACCACUGUCAGCCAGGUAACUGCCAUGGGUGCCUGGGCUAAGCAGAUGUUUACCUGCCACGUGGUGCAUGCUCCAACCACAACCCACACCAACAAGACUUUCCGAGCAUGCAGGGCUACCUUCACGCCGCCCACAGUAAGGCUCCUCCACUCCUCCUGCGACCCUCGGGAGAAAGCGACUUAUGCCAUCCAGCUCCUGUGCCUCAUCUCUGGCUACACCCCAGGACACAUUGAGGUCACCUGGCUGGUGGACGGACAGAAAGCCUCCAACUUGUUCUCCUCCAUGGCACCACCCAAGCAGGAAGGCAAGUUGGCAUCCACCUACAGCGAGCUCAAUGUCACCCAAGGCGAAUGGGCAUCACAGCACACCUACACCUGUAGGGUCGCCUACCAAGGCGAGCUCUUUGAGGCCCAUGCCCGGGAGUGCACAGCUUACGAACCCCGCGGCGUGAGCACCUACCUGAGCUCCCCUAGCCCCCUCGACCUGUACGUCCGCAAGUCACCCAAGCUCACCUGUCUGGUGGUGGACUUGGCCAGCGAGGAGGGCGUGAGCCUGGUCUGGUCCCGGGAAAGCGGGGAGCCUGUGAACCCCGACCCCUGGAAGGCCAAGAAGCAGUUCAAUGCCACGGUCAGCAUCACGUCCACCCUGCCAGUGGAUGCCCAGGACUGGAUAGAAGGCGAGACCUACACGUGCACCGUGACACAUCCCCACCUGCCGACGGCCAUCGUGCGGUCCAUUUCCAAGGGCUUGGGUGGGCGUGCUCCCCCCGAGGUACACCUGUUCAUGCCACCCGAAGAGCAGCAAGAGAACAAGGACCUGCUCACUCUCACCUGUCUGAUCCAGAACUUUUUCCCGGAGGACAUCUCAGUGCAGUGGCUUCUCAACGGGCAGCCAGUGCCCAGUAGCCAGUUCAGAACCACUGAGCCCCUCCUGACCAGCAGCUUCAACAAAACCUACUUCAUCUUCAGCCGCCUGGAGGUCAGCCGGACCGACUGGCAGCAGGGGAACGAGUUCACAUGCCAGGUGGUGCAUGAGGCACUGCCCGGCACCAGGAUCCUGGAGCGAACCGUGUCCAGGCAGCCCGAGCUGGACCUCCAGAACCUGUGUACAGAGGGGCCCGAGAGCGAGGAGCUGGACGGGCUAUGGACCAGCACCUGUGUCUUUGCCACCCUUUUUCUGCUAAGCACCAGCUGCAUUGCCAGCGUCCUGCUCAUCAAGGUGAAAUGGGUCUUGGCUGCAGUGAUGCCGGAAUUGCCUGCCGCCUCCCAUGACUACUCCAACAUCCUCCAUCUGGGGGCCUAA